Molecule: long non-coding RNA, 678 nt
Organism: Oreochromis niloticus (Nile tilapia)
Lineage: Eukaryota; Metazoa; Chordata; Actinopteri; Cichliformes; Cichlidae
Exons: 3
Source: RefSeq, a predicted model, not a curated record
AAUUAUUAGCACCUAAUAAGCACAGUGACAGAGGGACCCGAGGCUUUUUUUCGGGGGAUGACUGAAGCUAUCACCUUGCUAAUCCUUGCUGUCCAAACUGGCCUCAUUGAGCUGCAGGUCAUCCACAGAGCCAGUAUAAUGACAUCUGUGCUAUCUGCUUCCAGGACAUGACCAGUGCUGUGUUCACUCCGUGCAGUCAUUUCUUCCACGCUGGCUGUCUGAUGCCCUCUCUGUCGUUCACAACCAAGAGCGAAUCACCAACUAACGGUGGAGCUACCCAAGGUACACCUGCAGCCAAUCAGAACCCUGCAGGACAGGAAGAAGGCACUCUACUGGAUGACAGGAAAGAGGGAGCGUCAGUAAAGCAGGAGGGAGAUAAUGAAACUGCCACAUCAGCUGGGGAAACCUCCUCUUCCACCUCCCCCACUGGCAUGUCUGCUCCCCUGCCCAUCGUCAAACCUCCAUUAUCAUCUUCCUCUUGUUCUUCUUCUCCUCUUGCAACUGAUUCUGUGCUGCACCAGUCCCCUGCAGAUCACCCUUCUGCAUCUUCUUUCUCUACCUCUUACACAUCAGACACACCCGACGCUCCUGCAUCUCUCUGCCAUUCUGUCUCCACCUUUCACCAACCAACUUCACAGGUACUGACCUAAGCAGAGGCGAACCCUGCUAAACCCGAAU